CCUACGGGUGGCUGCAGGCGCGCAAACUUUACAAUGCGAGCAAUCGUGAUAAGGAAACCCUGAGUGCCUGUCGAUGCAGGCUGUUCAUAUAUCUAAAUCAUAUGUGAAGAAAGGGCAGGGCAAGACCGGUGCCAGCCGCCGCGGUAAUACCGGCUGCUCGAGUGAUGGCCACUAUUACUGGGUUUAAAGCGUCCGUAGCUUGACUGUUAGGUCUCUUGGGAAAUCUUCACGCUCAACGUGAAGGCGUCUAAGAGAUACCGGCAGUCUUGGAACUGGGAGAGGUAAACCGUACUUCGGGGG
RNAcentral lists this ribosomal RNA (300 nucleotides) under uncultured Methanocorpusculum sp. Its description in RNAcentral is "bacterial SSU rRNA". It matches the Rfam family "Archaeal small subunit ribosomal RNA", at positions 322 to 626 of the family's 1478-position model. The record is from RNAcentral. Lineage: Archaea; Methanobacteriati; Methanobacteriota; Methanomicrobia; Methanomicrobiales; Methanocorpusculaceae.